ACACGACUACAUUAGAUACCCGGGGGUAGUCCAGGGUGUAAACGCUGCGGGCUUGGUGUUGGGGGUCCUUUGAGGGCGCCCAGUGCCGGAGAGAAGUUGUUAAGCCUGCUGCUUGGGGAGUACGUCCGCAAGGAUGAAACUUAAAGGAAUUGGCGGGGGAGCACCGCAACGGGAGGAGCGUACGGUUCAAUUGGAUUCAACGCCGGACAACUCACCAGGAGCGACGGUUACAUGAAGGCCAGGCUGAUGACCUUGCCUGAUUUUCCG
Molecule: ribosomal RNA, 267 nt
Filed under: uncultured archaeon
Lineage: Archaea
Description: partial 16S ribosomal RNA
Rfam family: Archaeal small subunit ribosomal RNA
Source: RNAcentral